CGCGCUGAAGGGGGCGGCUAGGCGGUCGCUUCGAGCGUGUUAGUUAGCUCCCUGAAGAGAGUGAGGGCGGUUGGGCGCUGGCGGUCACUCGUGCGUUCGCUGGUAAGCGCGGCGGCGGCGGCGGCGGCGGCGGGAAGUGGAGCGGCGGUGCCGAACCAGGUGGGCAGCUCCUCCGGGGCUGUCGGUCUCCGCCUGAGGCGUCUGUGGAAGCUCUCUGCGGACGUGGAGCAGCCGAUGGUCUGUUUUGCCGGGGAGGGUGGACACUGGUUUGGUUCUGUGGGCAGGUGGAGCCGGGCCGCGGCGACUCUCGUUGAACUGUCCGGGCUGAGGAGAGCGAAGCCUCCUUCCAGACGAGAGGUUCACCACCCAGGCGGCUGCCCGGCCCAGGACACGCGCGUUCGUUGAGUGAAUAAACGACGGUUCCCGUCGACCUCUAACCUCGGGUUUGGAUUUUUUGGUCGUUUGGUUGGUGGAUCCCGGCAUUACUAGAAUUGGGUUUUGUUCGCGUGGUGACAGCCUAAAUAGUGCUGCAGCUGUAACAGACAAUAAGUUAAUAUACAUUUUUUUAAACUUGAAGUCGGGUGGCCGUGGCGUUUUGGGGAGCUUAGUGGAAGGAAGCUACGACCGUAAAACACUACCUUUUGAGUAAAGUGUCCC
Molecule: long non-coding RNA, 657 nt
Filed under: Rattus norvegicus (Norway rat)
Lineage: Eukaryota; Metazoa; Chordata; Mammalia; Rodentia; Muridae
Description: long non-coding RNA NONRATT029980
Source: RNAcentral